GUGUUGAUUUUGUUCACUUCUGUACAAGAUCUAAUCGCUGGAAGAGUCUUUUGUGUGAACAUUUGUUAAAAAAGUGAGAAAAGAAAUUAAUAAAUUAACAAAAUAAAUCAAAUUAAUAUAAACAGAUCAAUUGAAAGCAGUGGUCCAAAUUUUAGCGGAUCAAACUGUUUUAAUAAAGCAGCUGGUACAGGAGAAGGGGGUAUUGAAUCCCAUUCGGGGACAGUUCCCAAUAAAACGUGAGGAAGAGCUUAUAGAACUGGAAGAAAAAAUAAAAUUAAAUAGGGACAUUUAUGUAAGUAAAUCUAAACUCUAAAUUUUAUGACUUUUUUCUCUGUCUUAUCUUUAUAUUUUAAUGUUUCACUUACAGAUAACAGCAAUGAAAUCAAUUCUUCAGCCAGCUGGCGUUUUGAGCGGCUUGAACUUUAUUUUGAGUGAGGGCAUUUUUCUGGCAUAUAACGUCGAUGGGGUCCAAGGGAAGAAGGCCCUUAGGACCCACAAAGAAUUUUUUGCAGCUUUGCUAGAAUGUAUUCCGCCUGGCGAUGAGCCCCCCGAAAACACUGUACGGAAGGCAAUGCAAAGGGUGAAGAAAAGGGUGUUUAAAAAGAACUGUCUUGCCAAAAACCAGGAGUAGGCUAAGCAUCAUAUAAUUAAAAAUUAUUCGUUAUAUUGAAA
Molecule: long non-coding RNA, 672 nt
Organism: Drosophila miranda
Lineage: Eukaryota; Metazoa; Arthropoda; Insecta; Diptera; Drosophilidae
Exons: 3
Source: RefSeq, a predicted model, not a curated record